UACAGAGGUCCCAAGCGUUGUUCGGAUUCACUGGGCGUAAAGGGUGCGUAGGUGGUGAGGUAAGUCGGAUGUGAAAGCUCGGAGCUCAACUCCGAAAUGGCAUUGGAAACUACCUUGCUCGAGGGUUGGAGGGGGGACUGGAAUGCUUGGUGUAGCAGUGAAAUGCGUAGAUAUCAGGAGGAAUACCGAUGGCGAAGGCAGGUCUCUGGGCUGACACUGACGCUCAUGCACGAAAGCAUGGGGAGCAAACAGG
RNAcentral lists this ribosomal RNA (253 nucleotides) under uncultured bacterium. Its description in RNAcentral is "partial 16S ribosomal RNA". It matches the Rfam family "Bacterial small subunit ribosomal RNA", at positions 524 to 776 of the family's 1533-position model. The record is from RNAcentral.